This 496-nucleotide ribosomal RNA is filed under the name uncultured bacterium. RNAcentral describes it as "partial 16S ribosomal RNA". It matches the Rfam family "Bacterial small subunit ribosomal RNA", at positions 28 to 506 of the family's 1533-position model. The record is from RNAcentral.
GAUGAACGCUGGCGGCGUGCCUAAUACAUGCAAGUCGAGCGAACGGACGAGAAGCUUGCUUCUCUGAUGUUAGCGGCGGACGGGUGAGUAACACGUGGAUAACCUACCUAUAAGACUGGGAUAACUUCGGGAAACCGGAGCUAAUACCGGAUAAUAUUUUGAACCGCAUGGUUCAAAAGUAAAAGACGGUCUUGCUGUCACUUAUAGAUGGAUCCGCGCUGCAUUAGCUAGUUGGUAAGGUAACGGCUUACCAAGGCAACGAUGCAUAGCCGACCUGAGAGGGGGAUCGGCCACACUGGAACUGAGACACGGUCCAGACUCCUACGGGAGGCAGCAGUAGGGAAUCUUCCGCAAUGGGCGAAAGCCUGACGGAGCAACGCCGCGUGAGUGAUGAAGGGCUUCGGAUCGUAAAACUCUGUUAUGAGGGAAGAACAGAUGUGUAAGUAACGGUGCACAUCUUGACGGUACCGAAGCAGAAAGCCACGGCUAACUACGU